Molecule: non-coding RNA, 677 nt
Organism: Danio rerio (zebrafish)
Lineage: Eukaryota; Metazoa; Chordata; Actinopteri; Cypriniformes; Danionidae
Source: RefSeq, a predicted model, not a curated record
UCUGGGGCUGGAGCCGACACUGCAGCAGAGGUCUUCCUCUUUAACCUCCGCUUUUGAGUGCGGGUCAGCCCUUGCGGGCUGGACAUGUGUUGGGAGGGCAACAGAGAGCUGGGAUUGGGAUGUUCGCCAUAAGCAGCCUGAUGAACCAAAUGCUCCACAAACUGAUGGUAAGAUAGCCCUCCCAAUUUCAGCAUCUGCUGGAUAUUGAGGGGCUUGUCGAGAGCAUAGUUAAGGAGGUUCACCAGGGCUUGAUCAUUAAACCCCAGCCCCUCUGCUGCCACACAAAAUUUAGCCGCAAAACUUUCCACCUUCAUGCCACGUUGCCGCAGCGACUGCAGACUGAUGAGCUGCAGUAUGCGGCUGGAGAAGGGGCUGUCUUCACUCUGCUGGGUCCUCAUUUUUGGCGAGUUCGUACUGUCACGUUCCGGUAAAGGGAAAAAGGAGCAAGGACCCAAGCGCAGAGUGAAGUAGGAUUUAUUAAUUAAAAAAUAAAAUAAAAGGCAAAAAUAAACAACCCCGAGGGGGAAAACACUACUAAAACACUACUACAACAAACAAUAAAUCAAACAAACAAACUUGACUGGGCAGGCACAACAAGGCAGGACUGGACACAGCAAGACAGGUAAACAUCGACUACAUAUAAUGACGAACUCGCAAAGGACUGAAAACAUGAGGGG